RNAcentral lists this unclassified non-coding RNA (328 nucleotides) under soil metagenome. Its description in RNAcentral is "partial contains 5.8S ribosomal RNA, internal transcribed spacer 2, and large subunit ribosomal RNA". The stretch from base 1 to 120 matches the Rfam family "5.8S ribosomal RNA", at positions 35 to 154 of the family's 154-position model. The record is from RNAcentral.
GAUGAAGAACGCAGCGAAAUGCGAUAAGUAAUGUGAAUUGCAGAAUUCAGUGAAUCAUCGAAUCUUUGAACGCACAUUGCGCCCUCUGGUAUUCCGGGGGGCAUGCCUGUUCGAGCGUCAUUACAACCCUCAAGCUCUGCUUGGUAUUGGGCUCUGCCGGUCCUGGCAGGCCUCAAAGUCAGUGGCGGUGCCAUCCGGCUCCAAGCGUAGUAAUUCUUCUCGCUUCGGAGGCCGCGGUGCGUGCUAGCCAGCAACCCCCAAUUUUUUUCAGGUUGACCUCGGAUCAGGUAGGGAUACCCGCUGAACUUAAGCAUAUCAAUAAGCAGGA